Molecule: ribosomal RNA, 591 nt
Filed under: Triticum aestivum (bread wheat)
Lineage: Eukaryota; Viridiplantae; Streptophyta; Magnoliopsida; Poales; Poaceae
Description: partial small subunit ribosomal RNA
Source: RNAcentral
AUGAGCUUACGAAGCUGCUGUUUUGGAGUUGUGUGCCGCAAUAUGAGUAGUAAAUUUGUGAACCUGCUAUGUAAUGUUCAGGUUCCAGGAAGGAAAUUUGUGCGCCGCUAUCCGGAACCUCCUCUGCUUUCUCUGAAACAGGGUUGCCAUGUGAAGAAAAAGGAUAUGUGGGAGCUUUUGAAUGGACAAAGGCUUCAGCAAGGAAGAGAAGACGGCUGCAUUUCCUUACUUGCAAUUCUAGUAACUAUCUUUGUUAUAACUUGUAGAGUGUACCUGCAAAAAAAACUUGUAGAGUGUGAUGGAUUAAUUAGGAUGCUAUGUAAUCAGAGUACGUACCCUAUCAUAUGUAUCAUGACUGAUUGUGAUCAGGGUCUGCAUUCUAUGAAGAAGGCACCCAUUUAUAUGUUUAUUAGUGACAUUGUGUUGUGCUUGCUCUACUACUUCUGUACAUUAUUUGUGGAAUUGGUCUUGUUGUUCACCAUUGCUGAAAAUCUGUUUCAGUUAGCGUGCCCUUAUGUAGCACUAUUUCAAAUGGAGUUGGUCGCGUCCUCCUGCUCAUUUUUUAUGCCAACGAACAUUGUUGUCGCCUGA